This 490-nucleotide ribosomal RNA is filed under the name uncultured bacterium. Its description in RNAcentral is "partial 16S ribosomal RNA". It matches the Rfam family "Bacterial small subunit ribosomal RNA", at positions 29 to 507 of the family's 1533-position model. The record is from RNAcentral.
AUUGAACGCUGGCGGCAGGCCUAACACAUGCAAGUCGAACGGUAACGGGCCAUAGGUUGCUGACGAGUGGAGGAGGGGCGGACAAGUGAGCAGUACGUGGGCAACUGCGGGGGAGAGGGAGGUGACAGCUGGAAAAAUACCCUAAUACCUCAUAGGAUGACAGGAGGAGAGAGGGGGGCCUUGCGCCCUCGGGCCGGCAGAUGGGCCGAUGUGGGAUUAGCUGGUUGGUGGGGUAACGGCCCACCGAGGCGACGAUCGGUAGCUGGUCUGAGAGGAUGACCAGCCACACUGGAACUGAGACACGGUCCAGACUCCUACGGGAGGCAGCAGUGGGGAAUAUUGGACAAUGGGCGCAAGCCUGAUCCAGCCAUGCCGCGUGCAGGAAGAAGGCCUUCGGGUUGUAAAGUGCUUUUGUAGGGAACGAAAGGCGUUAGGUUAAUACCGUAGGUUCAUGACGUUACCCGAAGAAUAAGCACCGGCUAACUUCGUG